GAGGUGUUUGGUUAAUGGGGGCGGAUCCCUCAUGAAUAACUUGGUGCCAUUCUCAUGGGAGUGAGUUCUCACCCUAUUAGCUCCCAUGACAGCUGUUUGUUAAAAAGAUCCUGGCACCUCCCCCACCCUCUUGCUUCUUCUUUCGCCAUGUGAUCUCUGCGGUCUCUGCACAUAAUGGUUCCCCUUCUCCUUCUGCUAUGAGUGGAAGCAGCCAGAAGCUUUCAUCAGAAGCAGACGCUGGUGCCAUACCUGCAGAACUGUCAGCCAAAUACUGUCAUGUCUGAAUGGUAGUCCUGAGAUUGCGGCAGCCCUCACAUGAUGAGCCAGAGGAGGAAGCCUCAUGUGAAAGAAAGCAGGACCCACAGCCAUAGUUGCACAGAUCUAUUCAAGCCACGCUGAUCACUGCGCUAACCUCUGGAUUUGUUUGGUUACAGCAGUGAGUUUUCAGUUACUUGCAGCCUAACACAUAUGUUGCUUGAGGUUUAGCUUUUCUGGAUCGCCCUUUUUCUUAGCCCUCCACUCCCAGCCCAAGGUGGCAAUAGAGAAGGUCAGCCUACCUCCCAUCACUCCCUUGCCUUCCGCUCCUCACUCUGAGUGGGCUCUUUCCCUCACUCAAUUCUUUUUUGGCCUCCUAUCCUGGUGACCUGUAAUGAAGAGGAGUCCUCAUAAUUAAUCAUUUGGACCAACCAUGACUUUAGCUCUGAGGUUUGUGUAGAGCCCAGCCCUUCCAUGGGGAACCUAGUGUGGAUGCCCUAGCCUUUCCCAGAAAAUCACCCUUUGAGCACUUCUCAGUUUGCUUGACAAGUUCAAAGUCAUGAGCAUUUUUGAGGUAGAGUGGAGAGGACUCCACCAGACUAUUUCCCCCUAGGAUGCUGAGAGAGUGAGAAAGAGGGUUGGUGCAUACUCAACUGAAAGGAGAUGUAAAGGACAACCGUGUGCUCUUCCAGAUCCAUUGACCCAUGCUCUGCUCUUUUUCACCCUGGCCUGUGCCCUGUGAGACUGAGCUCUGCAGACUACACCACCCAAGCUCUCUUGCCUUCUGGCUUCUAGAUUGGUAGGGCCAAUAGGAGGCAGCAGCAGGAGAUUAGAAGGAGAGACUGUCAGGUAGGGAUAUUAUUCCCUCAACACUGGGAGGAUUGGCAUCCCUUUAGGACCACAGCUCCUGCCGAGUGCCCUUCAUCCACAGCUGUGUCUCUCCCCAGAAUCUGGGAUCUUUGUCUCUCUUUACUCCUUUAGGCUAGGGGUAGUAAUGGCUCCCUGGUAUUUCUAGUCCCAGGGUGUUUCAUCAGCUCUUAGGCAUUCCCCACUGACCUCUGUGUAUGCCUCUGUCAAUAGAACAAUUAAACUCCUUCACUUGAAAC
Molecule: long non-coding RNA, 1361 nt
Filed under: Homo sapiens (human)
Lineage: Eukaryota; Metazoa; Chordata; Mammalia; Primates; Hominidae
Description: HSALNT0330841
Source: RNAcentral